AUGGCCGCUCUACCAUGGUUCAUCCGCACUCCCUUCUUCAUCCUCGUACUACUACUACUCUCCACCGUCUCAUCUUCUUCGUCUUCCCUCACCCCGGCCAACAGCAAUGGCGGCGACACCGACCUCGCCGCCCUGCUCGCCUUCAAAGCCCAGCUCUCCGAUCCUCUCCGCGUCCUGGCCCUCAACUGGACGACCGGCACGUCCUUCUGCCGCUGGGCCGGCGUCUCGUGCGGCCGACGCAGGCAGCGGGUCACCGCUCUAUGGCUGCCGAACACGCCCCUCAAUGGAUCCGUGUCGCCGCACAUCGAAUACGGGUCUCUUGGGAAAGCAUCACGGAAGAGCGAUGUGUUCAGUUAUGGAAUUAUGCUUCUUGAAAUGUUCACUGGAAGGAGACCCACUGAUGCUAUGUUCGGUGCACAACUAACCCUUAGGCAGUGGGUCCAUCAUGCAUUUCCUUCUGAGCUCAUCCAAGCCGUUGAUGGCCAGCUACUGCACGGCUCUUCUAUUUCUAGCUCCAGCUUGGAUGAUGGUUUUCUUGUGCCGGUCUUCGAGUUGGGAUUGCACUGCUCCAGCGACUUGCCUGAUCAAAGGAUGGCGAUGCGCGAUGUAGUCGUGACGCUGAAGAAGAUCAAAGCCGAGUACAUCAAAUUGACAGCAACCAUGCCACAUUGUGGAACACAAUGA
RNAcentral lists this ribosomal RNA (684 nucleotides) under Triticum aestivum (bread wheat). Its description in RNAcentral is "partial small subunit ribosomal RNA". The record is from RNAcentral. Lineage: Eukaryota; Viridiplantae; Streptophyta; Magnoliopsida; Poales; Poaceae.